GCAGAGAGGUCACACCCGUUCCCAUACCGAACACGGAAGUUAAGCUCUCUAGCGCCGAUGGUAGUUGGGACCUUGUCCCUGUGAGAGUAGGACGUUGCCAGGCU
Molecule: ribosomal RNA, 104 nt
Filed under: Bacillus mycoides
Lineage: Bacteria; Bacillati; Bacillota; Bacilli; Caryophanales; Bacillaceae
Also listed under: 8 other names
Source: RNAcentral